CUCCCCCUCAUUAGAUACCACACUUCCUUGAAUUCUAAAAUCUCCAACCCCAUCUUUGAGAAUUAGUUAAGUGAUAAAUUUUCUAUCAAAGUAUAACUAGAAAACAAAAUUUGAUGAACAAAAGAUGUGUUUGGUUUACAAUCGAAAUCAGAAUUGUAAUACGAAUGAUUUAAAAUGAAAGCCGAAACAGAGAUUUUGAGAUAUUGAGGCAUUUUGAUUUUUUCAUAGAAUUGAAAUGAAACUCUCUUCAAC
This 252-nucleotide long non-coding RNA is filed under the name Elaeis guineensis (African oil palm). RNAcentral describes it as "long non-coding RNA (EGUI_LNC032451)". The record is from RNAcentral. Lineage: Eukaryota; Viridiplantae; Streptophyta; Magnoliopsida; Arecales; Arecaceae.